GGCUUCUCGAACUUAGUUUAUGGGAAGUCGUACCUGCCCAGUGAAGUUUUAACGGCCGCGGUACUCUGACCGUGCAAAGGUAGCAUAAUAAUUUGCCUUAUAAUUGAAGGCUGGAAUGAAUGGUUUGUCAAGGAUAAAACUGUCUCUAUAAAAUUUUAUAGAAUUUUAUUUUUAGGUGAAAAAGCCUAGAUUUUAUUAAAAGACAAGAAGACCCUAUCGAGCUUUAAAAAACUUAGUAAAUAUAUACAACAAAUUUGAAGUUUAAUUAUAAAAAUUUUGGUUGGGGCAACCUAGGAGUAAACAAAGCCUCCUUUUUUUGAAAAACUAUUUUGUUAGGAUCCAAAAAUUUUGAUCAAAAGAAAUAGUUACCGUAGGGAUAACAGCAUUAUUUUUUUUAAGAGUUCUUAUCGAAAAAAAAGUUUGUGACCUCGAUGUUGGACCAGAAUAUCCUGAAGGUGUAGAAG
This 464-nucleotide ribosomal RNA is filed under the name cf. Conus sp. DH-2009. Its description in RNAcentral is "partial 16S ribosomal RNA". It matches the Rfam family "Bacterial large subunit ribosomal RNA", at positions 1818 to 2561 of the family's 2925-position model. The record is from RNAcentral. Lineage: Eukaryota; Metazoa; Mollusca; Gastropoda; Neogastropoda; Conidae.